RNAcentral lists this ribosomal RNA (375 nucleotides) under Bacteroides fragilis. Its description in RNAcentral is "bacterial SSU rRNA". It matches the Rfam family "Bacterial small subunit ribosomal RNA", at positions 1 to 368 of the family's 1533-position model. Lineage: Bacteria; Pseudomonadati; Bacteroidota; Bacteroidia; Bacteroidales; Bacteroidaceae. The record is from RNAcentral.
ACAAUGAAGAGUUUGAUCCUGGCUCAGGAUGAACGCUAGCUACAGGCUUAACACAUGCAAGUCGAGGGGCAUCAGGAAGAAAGCUUGCUUUCUUUGCUGGCGACCGGCGCACGGGUGAGUAACACGUAUCCAACCUGCCCUUUACUCGGGGAUAGCCUUUCGAAAGAAAGAUUAAUACCCGAUAGCAUAAUGAUUCCGCAUGGUUUCAUUAUUAAAGGAUUCCGGUAAAGGAUGGGGAUGCGUUCCAUUAGGUUGUUGGUGAGGUAACGGCCCACCAAGCCUUCGAUGGAUAGGGGUUCUGAGAGGAAGGUCCCCCACAUUGGAACUGAGACACGGUCCAAACUCCUACGGGAGGCAGCAGUGAGGAAUAUUGGU